UAGUCCACGCCGUAAACGAUGGUUACUAGCUGUUGGGCCGAUUGGGGCUCAGUGGCCAAGCGAAAGUGAUAAGUAACCCACCUGGGGAGUACGUUCGCAAGAAUGAAACUCAAAGGAAUUGACGGGGGCCCGCACAAGCGGUGGAGCAUGUGGUUUAAUUCGAUGAUACGCGAGGAACCUUACCAGGGCUUAAAUGCAGUUGGACAGGGGUGGAAACACCCCCUUCUUCGGACUGAUUGCAAGGUGCUGCAUGGUUGUCGUCAGCUCGUGUCGUGAGAUGUUGGGUUAAGUCCCGCAACGAGCGCAACCCUUAUUUCUAGUUGCCAUUUGGAACUCUAGAAAGACUGUCGGUUAUAAACCGGAGGAAGGCGGGGAUGACGUCAAGUCAGCAUGCCCUUAUGCCCUGGGCUACACACGUGCUACAAUGGACAGUACAAAGGGUUGCCACUUAGUGAUAAGGAGCUAAUCCCAAAAACUGUUACUCAGUUCGGAUCGGAGUCUGCAACUCGACUCCGUGAAG
This 520-nucleotide ribosomal RNA is filed under the name uncultured bacterium. Its description in RNAcentral is "bacterial SSU rRNA". It matches the Rfam family "Bacterial small subunit ribosomal RNA", at positions 791 to 1325 of the family's 1533-position model. The record is from RNAcentral.